CCUACGGGUGGCAGCAGUGGGGAAUAUUGGACAAUGGGGGCAACCCUGAUCCAGCCAUGCCGCGUGUGUGAAGAAGGCCCUCGGGUUGUAAAGCACUUUCAGUGAGGAAGAACGCCUGGUGGUUAAUACCCAUCAGGAAAGACAUCACUCACAGAAGAAGCACCGGCUAACUCCGUGCCAGCAGCCGCGGUAAUACGGAGGGUGCGAGCGUUAAUCGGAAUUACUGGGCGUAAAGCGCGCGUAGGUGGCUUGAUAAGCCGGUUGUGAAAGCCCCGGGCUCAACCUGGGAACGGCAUCCGGAACUGUCAAGCUAGAGUGCAGGAGAGGAAGGUAGAAUUCCCGGUGUAGCGGUGAAAUGCGUAGAGAUCGGGAGGAAUACCAGUGGCGAAGGCGGCCUUCUGGACUGACACUGACACUGAGGUGCGAAAGCGUGGGUAGCAAACAGGAUUAGAUACCCUAGUAGGC
RNAcentral lists this ribosomal RNA (465 nucleotides) under Vreelandella stevensii. RNAcentral describes it as "partial 16S ribosomal RNA". It matches the Rfam family "Bacterial small subunit ribosomal RNA", at positions 338 to 795 of the family's 1533-position model. Lineage: Bacteria; Pseudomonadati; Pseudomonadota; Gammaproteobacteria; Oceanospirillales; Halomonadaceae. The record is from RNAcentral.